GGUGAGAUGACAGAGCGGCCCAUUGUGCCCGCCUUGAGAGCGGGUGGCCGAGAGGCCUCCUGGGUUCGAAUCCCAGUCUCACCG
RNAcentral lists this transfer RNA (84 nucleotides) under Halobacteriales archaeon QH_7_69_31. Its description in RNAcentral is "tRNA-Ser". It matches the Rfam family "tRNA". Rfam says of the family: Transfer RNA (tRNA) molecules are approximately 80 nucleotides in length. Their secondary structure includes four short double-helical elements and three loops (D, anti-codon, and T loops). RNAcentral also lists the same sequence under 2 other names. The record is from RNAcentral. Lineage: Archaea; Methanobacteriati; Methanobacteriota; Halobacteria; Halobacteriales.